Molecule: non-coding RNA, 875 nt
Organism: Cinara cedri
Lineage: Eukaryota; Metazoa; Arthropoda; Insecta; Hemiptera; Aphididae
Source: the annotation of a GenBank genome assembly
CAUAUUUACACUAGAGUUAAUUCCAAAAGUAUUGUAGUAGUAUACAUAAUUAAAUGAAAAGUAUGCAAAUUCAUACAAACCUAAGUCAGUAAUAAAUAAAGAGUGAUUUAUUUAACAUAAAAUACAUAUUAUUUUGCAAAAUAUUGACUUCAACAAAUAUUUUGAUAACUUAAGAAACAAGCAGCUCUAAAAUGUUACAAUACCAUUAAUUUUUGGGUGUGAAAAGACUAAAUUUGAUUUUCAAAUGACAAUCUUUGUUAAAAAUCUCAUAAUUAGAUAGAGUAUUAGCUUAAAUCAAUUUUGCUUUUGAAAUUGUUGAUUUGCUGUUUACGAGACAUUACACUAUUAAGUUAAGGCAGGGAGAGAAUAGUGGAUUUAGGAUCAUCAUUUUGUGUGGCGAUACAGACCGUAGCAUUUGAAAAAUGUUCCACUACACUCCUACCUAAAUUUAAAAAUGGAAUAUUUUAACAACAGGUUAAUGGAUUUAAAAAAAAUAAUGACCAAAUUUGAUUUAAACUAAUACUCCAUUAAUUUAUGUAUUAAUAUAAAUUAUCAUUUUAAAAUCAAAAGUAGAUAGUCAUUUUACCCCCAAAAAUAAAAUACUUUUUUCCAAAAAAGUCAAUAUUUUGCGAAAUAAUGUGUUUUACAUUGCACGAAUCAUACUGUAUAAUAUUAUAAUUAAUAGAUUCUUAAAGUUUAACUUUCUCUCAUUACCUUAAUACAAAUAUCUGAAACACUAUAAAGUACCUGUGUAAUGAAAUCUAUAAAAACAUUGUUUCAGAAGAUUUUAAUAUUUGGCUAAGGAUAUAAUUUAUGUAUACAAAUAUUGUGUAACUCUUAACACAUUUUUUUAUUUAAGUUUAGUUAAUUUUGGC